UGGGGAUGACGUCAAGUCAUCAUGGCCCUUACGGCCUGGGCUACACACGUGCUACAAUGGUCGGUACAAAGGGUUGCCAAGCCGCGAGGUGGAGACUAAUCCCAUAAACCGAUCGUAGUCCGGAUCGCAGUCUGCAACUCGACUGCGUGAAGUCGGAAUCGCUAGUAAUCGUGAAUCAGAAUGUCACGGUGAAUACGUUCCCGGGCCUU
This 209-nucleotide ribosomal RNA is filed under the name uncultured Pseudomonas sp. RNAcentral's name for it is "partial 16S ribosomal RNA". It matches the Rfam family "Bacterial small subunit ribosomal RNA", at positions 1174 to 1382 of the family's 1533-position model. Lineage: Bacteria; Pseudomonadati; Pseudomonadota; Gammaproteobacteria; Pseudomonadales; Pseudomonadaceae. The record is from RNAcentral.